Molecule: non-coding RNA, 571 nt
Organism: Schizosaccharomyces pombe (fission yeast)
Lineage: Eukaryota; Fungi; Ascomycota; Schizosaccharomycetes; Schizosaccharomycetales; Schizosaccharomycetaceae
Source: the annotation of a GenBank genome assembly
UGGAAAGUAACUAAUUUCAACUUACUUGAAUGAGAUCGAGAAUUCCUAGUUCACUUUCACCUUCAUCUACUACAAAAACGAAGUAGAGAGUAGCGUACUGGCGAUAAAUUAUUCUAUUUUUACCUGCAAUUAAAUUACUUUCCAAAAAAUUACAAGCGGUUGGGGGCCUAGUGGAUACAGCUGCAUAUAUAUCUCCUAUUAACUUUUGUUGAAUGGAUUCAUCAAUUGGAGUGUAAAACUUUGUGAGACGAGGUUUCCCUUUAUUGUUAAAUAUAAAAACAGCGUAAAUCAUGACAAUAGAAAGGGAAAGCUGGCAGAACCCAAAUAUGCAGUGCUUGGUAAACGGCAAGCUGAAGUUUAAGUUGAAUAUACGUUAAUAGUAGUUUGGAAGAACCAGGAUCGACAAAUUUCUUUCAAUGCCUUAGUUAAUUUGCUAUAUUUAAGAUUUUCAUGGUUUUAUAUUUAUUGAGUAUAUUAUUUAUCCACUAUUGAACCAAAGAUCUGUUACUGAAAUUCAUAAUGUCUAGUAAACAAUUUUUGCCAUGCCUUCAAUGAUCUCUAUAACGAACUA